RNAcentral lists this ribosomal RNA (485 nucleotides) under uncultured bacterium. RNAcentral's name for it is "partial 16S ribosomal RNA". It matches the Rfam family "Bacterial small subunit ribosomal RNA", at positions 28 to 507 of the family's 1533-position model. The record is from RNAcentral.
GAUGAACGCUAGCGGCAGGCCUAAUACAUGCAAGCCAAGGGCUGUUUGGUGUAGCAAUACAUCAGACAACCGGCGGACGGGUGCGUAACGCGUAUGCAACCUUCCCUAUACAGGAGGGUAGCCUUCGGGAAAGUGGAGUAAUACCCCAUAAGAAUGCUCUGAUGCAUGGUUAAGCAAUGAAAGCUGCAGGGGGGUAUAGGAGGGGCGUGGGUCCGAUUAGCUAGUUGGUGAGGUAACGGCUCACCAGGGCGAGGAUCUGUAGGGGUUCUGAGAGGAAGAGCCCCCACACGGGGACUGGGACACGGGCCCGACACCUACGGGACGCAGCAGUAAGGAAUAUUGGACAAUGGGUGAAAGCCUGAUCCAGCCAUGCCGCGUGCAGGAAGAAGGCCCUAUGGGUGGUAAACUGCUUUUGGGAGGGAGAAAUAAGGGCGAUGCGUCGCUCGAUGAUAGUACUUCUCGAAGAAGCAUCGGCUAACUUCGUG